Molecule: ribosomal RNA, 301 nt
Filed under: uncultured bacterium
Lineage: Bacteria
Description: partial 16S ribosomal RNA
Rfam family: Bacterial small subunit ribosomal RNA
Source: RNAcentral
CAGUCGCCACGGGAAUACGUAGGUGGCAAGCGUUGUCCGGAAUUAUUGGGCGUAAAGCGCGCGCAGGUGGUUUAAUAAGUCUGAUGUGAAAGCCCACGGCUCAACCGUGGAGGGUCAUUGGAAACUGUUAAACUUGAGUGCAGGAGAGAAAAGUGGAAUUCCUAGUGUAGCGGUGAAAUGCGUAGAGACUAGGAGGAACACCAGUGGCGAAGGCGGCUUUUUGGCCUGUAACUGACACUGAGGCGCGAAAGCGUGGGGAGCAAACAGGAUUAGAUACCCCCGUAGUCCCUGUCUCUUAUAC